AAGUCGUAACAAGGUCUCCGUUGGUGAACCAGCGGAGGGAUCAUUACAGAGUUGCAAAACUCCCACAAACCAUCGCGAAUCUUACCCGUACGGUUGCCUCGGCGCUGGCGGUCCGGAAGGCCCUCGGGCCCCCGGACCCUCGGGUCUCCCGCUCGCGGGAGGCUGCCCGCCGGAGUGCCGAAACCAAACUCUCGAUAUUUCUUGUCUCUCUGAGUAAACUUUUAAAUAAGUCAAAACUUUCAACAACGGAUCUCUUGGUUCUGGCAUCGAUGAAGAACGCAGCGAAAUGCGAUAAGUAAUGUGAAUUGCAGAAUUCAGUGAAUCAUCGAAUCUUUGAACGCACAUUGCGCUCGCCAGUAUUCUGGCGAGCAUGCCUGUUCGAGCGUCAUUUCAACCAUCAAGCACAGCUUGGUGUUGGGACUCGCGUUAAUUCGCGUUCCUCAAAUUGAUUGGCGGUCACGUCGAGCUUCCAUAGCGUAGUAGUAAAACCCUCGUUACUGGUAAUCGUCGCGGCCACGCCGUUAAACCCCAACUUCUGAAUGUUGACCUCGGAUCAGGUAGGAAUACCCGCUGAACUUAA
Molecule: ribosomal RNA, 580 nt
Filed under: uncultured fungus
Lineage: Eukaryota; Fungi
Description: eukaryotic LSU rRNA
Rfam family: 5.8S ribosomal RNA (bases 235-388)
Source: RNAcentral